RNAcentral lists this ribosomal RNA (465 nucleotides) under Vreelandella stevensii. RNAcentral describes it as "partial 16S ribosomal RNA". It matches the Rfam family "Bacterial small subunit ribosomal RNA", at positions 338 to 795 of the family's 1533-position model. The record is from RNAcentral. Lineage: Bacteria; Pseudomonadati; Pseudomonadota; Gammaproteobacteria; Oceanospirillales; Halomonadaceae.
CCUACGGUGUGCAGCAGUGGGGAAUAUUGGACAAUGGGCGAAAGCCUGAUCCAGCCAUGCCGCGUGUGUGAAGAAGGCCUUCGGGUUGAAAAGCACUUUCAGUGGGGAAGAAAGCCUUGGGGCUAAUACCCUCGAGGAAGGACAUCACCCACAGAAGAAGCACCGGCUAACUCCGUGCCAGCAGCCGCGGUAAUACGGAGGGUGCGAGCGUUAAUCGGAAUUACUGGGCGUAAAGCGCGCGUAGGCGGUCUGAUAAGCCGGUUGUGAAAGCCCCGGGCUCAACCUGGGAACGGCAUCCGGAACUGUCAGGCUAGAGUGCAGGAGAGGAAGGUAGAAUUCCCGGUGUAGCGGUGAAAUGCGUAGAGAUCGGGAGGAAUACCAGUGGCGAAGGCGGCCUUCUGGACUGACACUGACGCUGAGGUGCGAAAGCGUGGGUAGCAAACAGGAUUAGAUACCCGAGUAGUC